This 390-nucleotide long non-coding RNA is filed under the name Hordeum vulgare. RNAcentral describes it as "long non-coding RNA (HVUL_LNC006045)". Lineage: Eukaryota; Viridiplantae; Streptophyta; Magnoliopsida; Poales; Poaceae. The record is from RNAcentral.
AAAAUUCUGAUACAUCAAUAAUAGUCGUACGAUACAGAAUUAUUUAGGGAAACAGUAAAGUAUAACCUUCACUUCGCAAUGCUUAAUAGCAUGUGAAGCCACGUAUCAAGAGUAAAAGAAUACAAUUUGUUUGUGUUUCUCGAACGAGGACUCGCAAACUACAAAAUGAUUUAGCCACGAUUAUGGUCGGAGGGGUGUGGGUUCGGCGAGCCCGGCACCGCGGCCACCCGCAAUCCGAGCAUCCUCCGGCCUUCCACGCUGCCGGCGCCCAUGGCGAGGAACACCGCAGCUGCAACCACUAGAGCGAGCACCAGCACUCUCAUCGCAUACAUACUGCUUCGGAUCGGUCUUCUUCUUCUUCUUCUCCCCCAUCCAUAAUUUGGAGCUGUG